Long non-coding RNA from Choloepus didactylus (southern two-toed sloth), 457 nucleotides. RefSeq lists it as uncharacterized. The transcript is spliced from 4 exons. Lineage: Eukaryota; Metazoa; Chordata; Mammalia; Pilosa; Megalonychidae. The record is from RefSeq and is a predicted model, not a curated record.
AAGAGAGAGUGCAGAAGAAGGGAAAGAAGAAGGGCAUGUUAAGGUAAAGCAAAAUGUGUAGCGCUCCUGUUCUAGAAGUGGAUGUGGACAAGAAACCUGGAGUGAGUGAGCAAGUGAAAAGUGAGUGCGUGACUGAAAGCCCAUCACCAACAAAGAAGAGGACACCAGGAAGGAGUUCAGAUUGACUGGGAAUGUCAGACUACAUGAAUCCAGAGUUUGGGGUUUUAUUUCUGCAUCUUUCCAAGUUGCAAUUUGUAAAACAUAAGUUGGUACCAGGAGUGGGGACUAUCAAUACAAAACCCUAAAAUCCAUGCGUGGCAGCAGAGUAGAAAUUCAAGCUAGAGCUACCUGAUCUUCAAGACAUUACGGAAGUGGUAAGGGACAUGCUCUCUGCCUUUGGCCUGCCAUCUAAAUGGACCAGCAGUGUUUUGGGAACUUAAAGGUAAAAAAGACAAAU